AGCAGCCGCGGUAAUUCCAGCUCCAAUAGCGUAUAUUAAAGUUGUUGCAGUUAAAAAGCUCGUAGUUGAACUUCGGGAUCAAGGGAUCGGUCAUGCUUUUGUAUGUACUGGUCUUAUUGGUUCUCACCUUCUAAAGAACCAUAAUGUCAUUCAUUUGAUGUUAUGGGGAAUUAGGACUGUUACCUUGAAAAAAUUAGAGUGUUUAAAGCAGGCUUACGCUUGAAUACAUUAGCAUGGAAUAAUGAAAUAGGACAUCCGAUUCUAUUUUGUUGGUUUCUAGGAUCGAUGUAAUGAUUAAUAGGGAUAGUUGGGGGCAUUAGUAUUCAAUUGUCAGAGGUGAAAUUCUUGGAUUUAUUGAAGACUAACUACUGCGAAAGCAUUUGCCAAGGAUGUUUUCAUUAAUCAAGAACGAAAGUUAGGGGAUCGAAGACGAUCAGAUACCGUCGUAGUCUUAACCAUAAACUAUGCCGACUAGGGAUCGGAUGAUGUUAAUUUUUUAAUGACUCAUUCGG
Molecule: ribosomal RNA, 512 nt
Filed under: uncultured Glomus
Lineage: Eukaryota; Fungi; Glomeromycota; Glomeromycetes; Glomerales; Glomeraceae
Description: SSU rRNA
Rfam family: Eukaryotic small subunit ribosomal RNA
Source: RNAcentral